CACAUGCAGUCGAACGGUGAAGCACGAAGCUUGCUCUGUGGAUCAGUGGCGAACGGGUGAGUAACACGUGAGCAAUCUGCCCCUGACUCUGGGAUAAGCGCUGGAAACGGCGUCUAAUACCGGAUACGAGCUGCGACCGCAUGGUCAGUAGCUGGAAAGAAUUUCGGUCAGGGAUGAGCUCGCGGCCUAUCAGCUUGUUGGUGAGGUAAUGGCUCACCAAGGCGUCGACGGGUAGCCGGCCUGAGAGGGUGACCGGCCACACUGGGACUGAGACACGGCCCAGACUCCUACGGGAGGCAGCAGUGGGGAAUAUUGCACAAUGGGCGAAAGCCUGAUGCAGCAACGCCGCGUGAGGGAUGACGGCCUUCGGGUUGUAAACCUCUUUUAGCAGGGAAGAAGCGAAAGUGACGGUACCUGCAGAAAAAGCGCCGGCUAACUACGUGCCAGCAGCCGCGGUAAUACGUAGGGCGCAAGCGUUAUCCGGAAUUAUUGGGCGUAAAGAGCUCGUAGGCGGUCUGUCGCGUCUGCUGUGAAAACCCGAGGCUCAACCUCGGGCCUGCAGUGGGUACGGGCAGACUAGAGUGCGGUAGGGGAGAUUGGAAUUCCUGGUGUAGCGGUGGAAUGCGCAGAUAUCAGGAGGAACACCGAUGGCGAAGGCAGAUCUCUGGGCCGUAACUGACCCCAUGCGAAAGGGUGGGGAGCAAACAGGCUUAGAUACCCUGGUAGUCCACCCCGUAAACGUUGGGAACUAGUUGUGGGGUCCAUUCCACGGAUUCCGUGACGCAGCUAACGCAUUAAGUUCCCCGCCUGGGGAGUACGGCCGCAAGGCUAAAACUCAAAGGAAUUGACGGGGACCCGCACAAGCGGCGGAGCAUGCGGAUUAAUUCGAUGCAACGCGAAGAACCUUACCAAGGCUUGACAUAUAGAGGAAACGUCUGGAAACAGUCGCCCCGCAAGGUCUCUAUACAGGUGGUGCAUGGUUGUCGUCAGCUCGUGUCGUGAGAUGUUGGGUUAAGUCCCGCAACGAGCGCAACCCUCGUUCUAUGUUGCCAGCACGUAAUGGUGGGAACUCAUGGGAUACUGCCGGGGUCAACUCGGAGGAAGGUGGGGAUGACGUCAAAUCAUCAUGCCCCUUAUGUCUUGGGCUUCACGCAUGCUACAAUGGCCGGUACAAAGGGCUGCAAUACCGUGAGGUGGAGCGAAUCCCAAAAAGCCGGUCCCAGUUCGGAUUGAGGUCUGCAACUCGACCUCAUGAAGUCGGAGUCGCUAGUAAUCGCAGAUCAGCAACGCUGCGGUGAAUACGUUCCCGGGUCUUGUACACACCGCCCGUCAAGUCAUGAAAGUCGGUAACACCUGAAGCCGGUGGCCCAACCUGCUUAGUGGAGUGAGC
RNAcentral lists this ribosomal RNA (1390 nucleotides) under Microbacterium sp. AAI10. RNAcentral's name for it is "16S ribosomal RNA". It matches the Rfam family "Bacterial small subunit ribosomal RNA". The record is from RNAcentral. Lineage: Bacteria; Bacillati; Actinomycetota; Actinomycetes; Micrococcales; Microbacteriaceae.